RNAcentral lists this small RNA (541 nucleotides) under Penicillium coprophilum. RNAcentral's name for it is "eukaryotic LSU rRNA". The stretch from base 173 to 325 matches the Rfam family "5.8S ribosomal RNA". The record is from RNAcentral. Lineage: Eukaryota; Fungi; Ascomycota; Eurotiomycetes; Eurotiales; Aspergillaceae.
ACGAGCGAAGACUUUGGGUCACCUCCCACCCAUGUUUAUUUUACCUUGUUGCUUCGGCGGGCCCGCCUUUACUGGCCGCCGGGGGGCUUACGCCCCCGGGCCCGCGCCCGCCGAAGACACCCUCGAACUCUGUCUGAAGAUUGUAGUCUGAGUGAAAAUAUAAAUUAUUUAAAACUUUCAACAACGGAUCUCUUGGUUCCGGCAUCGAUGAAGAACGCAGCGAAAUGCGAUACGUAAUGUGAAUUGCAAAUUCAGUGAAUCAUCGAGUCUAUGAACGCACAUUGCGCCCCCUGGUAUUCCGGGGGGCAUGCCUGUCCGAGCGUCAUUGCUGCCCUCAUGCCCGGCUUGUGUGUUGGGCCCCGUCCUCCGAUUCCGGGGGACGGGCCCGAAAGGCAGCGGCGGCACCGCGUCCGGUCCUCGAGCGUAUGGGGCUUUGUCACCCGCUCUGUAGGCCCGGCCGGCGCUUGCCGAUCAACCCAAAUUUUUAUCCAGGUUGACCUCGGAUCAGGUAGGGAUACCCGCUGAACUUAAGCAUAUCAUA